Molecule: ribosomal RNA, 680 nt
Filed under: uncultured bacterium
Lineage: Bacteria
Description: bacterial SSU rRNA
Rfam family: Bacterial small subunit ribosomal RNA
Source: RNAcentral
GAACGCUAGCUACAGGCUUAACACAUGCAAGUCGAGGGGUAACAUGAUUGGAGCUUGCUCCGAUUGAUGACGACCGGCGCACGGGUGAGUAACGCGUAUCCAACCUGCCCCAUGCUCUGGGAUAACCUUCCGAAAGGGAGCCUAAUACCGGAUGUUGUGCGACGAUGGCAUCAGAAUUGCACGAAAGAUUCGUCGGCAUGGGAUGGGGAUGCGUCUGAUUAGCUUGUUGGCGGGGUAACGGCCCACCAAGGCGACGAUCAGUAGGGGUUCUGAGAGGAAGGUCCCCCACACUGGUACUGAGACACGGACCAGACUCCUACGGGAGGCAGCAGUGAGGAAUAUUGGUCAAUGGGCGGGAGCCUGAACCAGCCAAGUAGCGUGCAGGAAGACGGCCCUACGGGUUGUAAACUGCUUUUAUGAGGGGAUAAAGGACACUACGUGUAGUGUUUUGCAGGUACCUCAUGAAUAAGGACCGGCUAAUUCCGUGCCAGCAGCCGCGGUAAUACGGAAGGUCCUGGCGUUAUCCGGAUUUAUUGGGUUUAAAGGGAGCGUAGGCGGAAGCUCAAGCGUGCUGUGAAAUGUACCGGCUCAACCGGUGACGUGCAGCGUGAACUGGGUUUCUUGAGUGUGCGGAAGGAACGCGGAAUUCGUGGUGUAGCGGUGAAAUGCUUAGAUAUCAC